RNAcentral lists this ribosomal RNA (815 nucleotides) under uncultured bacterium. RNAcentral describes it as "bacterial SSU rRNA". It matches the Rfam family "Bacterial small subunit ribosomal RNA", at positions 8 to 796 of the family's 1533-position model. The record is from RNAcentral.
AGAGUUUGAUCAUGGCUCAGGAUGAACGCUAGCGACAGGCCUAACACAUGCAAGUCGAGGGGCAUCGGGACGUAGCAAUACGUUGCCGGCGACCGGCGGAUGGGUGAGUAACGCGUAUGCAACCUACCCGUAGCAGGGGGAUAGCCCGUUGAAAGACGGAUUAAUACCCCGUAACACAGGGGCUCCGCAUGGAGAUUAUUGUUAAAGGGUCAUUUCUUUUAGAGGUGGUCCGGCUACGGAUGGGCAUGCGUUCCAUUAGGUAGUUGGUGUAGGUAACGGCUCACCAAGCCGACGAUGGAUAGGGGAACUGAGAGGUUGGUCCCCCACACUGGUACUGAGACACGGACCAGACUCCUACGGGAGGCAGCAGUGAGGAAUCUUGGUCAAUGGACGCAAGUCUGAACCAGCCAUGUCGCGUGAAGGAGGACGGCCCUAAGGGUUGUAAACUUCUUUUGCAGUGGAAUAAAGUUUGCCACGAGUUGGCGAUUUGCAAGUACGCUGCGAAUAAGGAUCGGCUAACUCCGUGCCAGCAGCCGCGGUAAUACGGAGGAUCCGGGCGUUAUCCGGAUUUAUUGGGUUUAAAGGGUGCGCAGGCGGGGAUUUAGGUCGGCGGUGAAAUUUCGGGGCUCAACCUCGAUAGUGCCGUUGAAACCGUUUCUCUUGAGUGCGGAUGAGGUAGGCGGAAUUUGUGGUGUAGCGGUGAAAUGCGUAGAUAUCACAAGGAACACCGAUUGCGGAGGCAGCUUACUAAACCGUUACUGACGCUCAUGCACGAAGGCGUGGGGAUCAAACAGGAUUAGAUACCCUGGUAGUCC